AUUGAACGCUGGCGGCAUGCUUUACACAUGCAAGUCGAACGGCAGCGCGGGCUUCGGCCUGGCGGCGAGUGGCGCACGGGUGCGUAAUGCAUCGGAACGUGCCCAGUAGUAGGGGAUAGGCCGGCGGAAGCCGGAUUAAUACCGCAUACGACAUGCGGGUGAACGCGGGGGACCGAAAGGCCUCGCGCUGUUGGAGGAGCCGAGGUCGGAUUAGCUAGUUGGUGGGGUAAAGGCUUACCAAGGCGACGAUCCGUACCUGGGCUGAGAGGACGACCAGCACACUGGGACUGAGACACGGCCCAGACUCCUAUGGGACGCAGCAGUGGGGAAUUUUGGACAAUGGGGGCAAGCCUGAUCCAGCCAUGCCGCGUGCGGGAAGAAGGCCUUCGGGUUGUAAACCGCUUUUGUUCGGGAAGAAAUACUCUGCGCUAAUACCCCGGGGGGAUGACGGUACCGGAAGAAUAAGCACCGGCUAACUACGUG
This 483-nucleotide ribosomal RNA is filed under the name uncultured bacterium. RNAcentral's name for it is "partial 16S ribosomal RNA". It matches the Rfam family "Bacterial small subunit ribosomal RNA", at positions 28 to 507 of the family's 1533-position model. The record is from RNAcentral.